UAUUUACAGUCAAGGUAUUUAUUGCCUAUAUAGUAUAAGUGGCAACCAAAUUUUGCUUCCGGCUAAAAAUGACAACUCCGCAUUUGCGAUUUAUCACAGGGUAAUGUCAUCUCUACACCAGCAUUACAAGAUACCAUCUUGCCGGGAAUCACAAGAAAGAGCAUAAUUGAUAUUGCUCUCAGCUUCAAAAACCAGCUGUGGGUGCCACUCCCGUUGGCAGUGUAACCUAUCAGAGCGAAAGGUGCGAGUACAAAACCGGAGACGACACCGUGACCGAAAGGCUUCGCACAAAGCUUGCAGCAAUUCAUACCGGUACAGCCGAAGACGAGUUUGGGUGGACUUCAACACUUAACCAAGCUUAACAUAUAUUCUCUACUGCCUAUGAAAAUGUAGAAAUCAGCUAGCUGAUAUGUACUAGAGAAGCAACUAAUAGUUCAGAGGCACCAGAGAUAUCUUCUCUGCUGUUUGCUUGCAUUGACAUGGGAAAGUUGAAUAGUUCCUUUUUCUUAUCUUUCUCGUCUUUACACAGAGACACAGUACGAGAGGAUUUCGAUAGCUGUUUCAUCCAAGACUGCGUGGCAAAACAAUUUAUACUUGGA
Long non-coding RNA from Rhodamnia argentea, 599 nucleotides. RefSeq lists it as uncharacterized. The record is from RefSeq and is a predicted model, not a curated record. Lineage: Eukaryota; Viridiplantae; Streptophyta; Magnoliopsida; Myrtales; Myrtaceae. The transcript is spliced from 3 exons.